CGCGGUUAUACUAAGUGAGUGAGUUAUAUUUCUAGGUAAAAAGACAGUUAGGUUUAUUUAGCUAUUUAGUCUAUUGAUCAUUUAUAAAAAAGUAAAAUUUGUAUAUAAAUAGUUAAUCUAAUAGUGGCUGUACAAUGCUGAAGCUGUGAUAGUCUUGAGGGAAACUGGGAUUAGAUACCCCAUUAUUCGUGACUGUAAAUAUAAUUAUAUUUACCAGAGUACUAUGAAGUUAAAAAUUUAAAACUCAAAGGGCUUGGCGGUGUUUUAGACCUAUCAGGGGAACCUGUCUCGUAAUCGACAAUCCACGUUGAACCUAACCUUAUUUUGUACUCAGUUUGUAUACCGUCGUCGUCAGGUAACUUUUAAGAGUAUAGAAGUUAGCAGAAAGAAUUUAGUAAAUUAGGACGUCAGAUCAAGGUGCAGCCUAUAAUAAGGAGAGGAUGGGUUACAAUUAUUAGAUUUAUAAUUACGAAAAUUUAGAUGAAAUUAUAUUUAGAAGGAGGACUUGAAAGUAAAUUUUAGUAUAUAAAUAUAUUGAAUGAGGCUCUG
Molecule: ribosomal RNA, 549 nt
Filed under: Naytia granulosa
Lineage: Eukaryota; Metazoa; Mollusca; Gastropoda; Neogastropoda; Nassariidae
Description: partial 12S ribosomal RNA
Rfam family: Bacterial small subunit ribosomal RNA
Source: RNAcentral